Budorcas taxicolor (takin) is the source of this 440-nucleotide long non-coding RNA. RefSeq lists it as uncharacterized. The transcript has 3 exons. Lineage: Eukaryota; Metazoa; Chordata; Mammalia; Artiodactyla; Bovidae. The record is from RefSeq and is a predicted model, not a curated record.
AACACCAUGUAACAGACGGAGGCAGAAUUCGAAGGGCUGCAGCUGUGAGCCCAGAGAGCCAAGGACUGCUGGCAACCCAUCCGAAUCCAGCAAGAGGCAAGGAAAGAUGCUCCCCUCCGGGUUUCAGGAGGAGCCUGACCAUGCCGAUACCUUGAUUUCAGACUUCAGCCUCCAAAAUGGUGAGGCCAGGCACUUUCCACGGCAUCUCAGGGAGAACCUCGAGGCAGUCAAUAACUCCUGUGGCUGAAGAUGCUGGGUUCACUGGUGAUGGUGGGGCCCGUCUGGUCUCCCCACUGGAAAGAUGCUUUAGUUUCAAGGAAGCUGAAAGAAUCAACCAGUGCACAUGAUCACUUGAAUCAGGACACUCCAGACACAGAGACGGGAGACAGCGCAGAGCCAAGGAGAGAAGGGCCAGGAGAGAGGCUCUCCUCUCAGGAGCA